RNAcentral lists this ribosomal RNA (492 nucleotides) under uncultured bacterium. Its description in RNAcentral is "partial 16S ribosomal RNA". It matches the Rfam family "Bacterial small subunit ribosomal RNA", at positions 29 to 507 of the family's 1533-position model. The record is from RNAcentral.
AGUGAACGCUGGCGGUAGGCCUAACACAUGCAAGUCGAACGGCAGCACAGUAAGAGCUUGCUCUUACGGGUGGCGAGUGGCGGACGGGUGAGGAAUACAUCGGAAUCUACUUUUUCGUGGGGGAUAACGUAGGAAAACUUACGCUAAUACCGCAUACGACCUACGGGUGAAAGCAGGGGAUCUUCGGACCUUGCGCGAUUGAAUGAGCCGAUGUCGGAUUAGCUAGUUGGCGGGGUAAAGGCCCACCAAGGCGACGAUCCGUAGCUGGUCUGAGAGGAUGAUCAGCCACACUGGAACUGAGACACGGUCCAGACUCCUACGGGAGGCAGCAGUGGGGAAUAUUGGACAAGGGGCGCAAGCCUGAUCCAGCCAUACCGCGUGGGUGAAGAAGGCCUUCGGGUUGUAAAGCCCUUUUGUUGGGAAAGAAAAGCAGCAGGUUAAUACCCCGCUGUUCUGACGGUACCCAAAGAAUAAGCACCGGCUAACUUCGUG